AGUGAAUAGAUACCCAGGUAGUCCACGCCCUAAACGAUGUCGACUGGUUGUUGGGGUUUGACACUCUCAGUAAACGAAAGCUAAACGCGUGAAGUCGACCGCCUGGGGAUACGGCCGCAAGGUUAAAACCUCAAAGGAAUUGACGGGGACCCCGCACAAGCGGUGGAUUAUGUGGAUUAAUUCGAUGCAACGCGAAAACCUUACCUACCCUUGACAUGUCCUGAAUCCUGGAGAGAUCCGGGGGGUUGCCCGGAAACGGGUAACCGGGUAACCACAGGUGCUGCAUGGCUGUCGUCAGCUCGUGUCGUGAGAUGUUGGGUUAA
RNAcentral lists this ribosomal RNA (323 nucleotides) under uncultured bacterium. Its description in RNAcentral is "bacterial SSU rRNA". It matches the Rfam family "Bacterial small subunit ribosomal RNA", at positions 773 to 1083 of the family's 1533-position model. The record is from RNAcentral.